Molecule: long non-coding RNA, 877 nt
Filed under: Corvus moneduloides (New Caledonian crow)
Lineage: Eukaryota; Metazoa; Chordata; Aves; Passeriformes; Corvidae
Description: lncRNA (ENSCMUG00000020292.1)
Source: RNAcentral
CGUGGAGCAGGAGCUGCUCCUCUACGAGGGGGUUUGGGGGUUCCCAGGUGGAUUUUGGGGCUCCCCGGUGGAUUUUGGGGGUUCCCAGGUGGAUUUUGGGGUGCCCUGACCCCAUUUUCGGGGUUCCCAGGUGGAUUUUGGGGGUUCCCAGGUGGAUUUUGGGGCUCCCCGGUGGAUUUUGGGGUGCUGGGCUGGAUUUUGGGGUACCCUGACCCCAUUUUCGGGGUUCCCAGGUGGAUUUUGGGGCUCCCAGGUGGAUUUUGGGGCUCCCCGGUGGAUUUUGGGGUGCCCUGACCCGUUUUCGGGGCUCCCAGGUGCACGUGGAGCAGGAGCUGCUCCUCUACGAGGGGGUUUGGGGGUUCCCAGGUGGAUUUUGGGGCUCCCCGGUGGAUUUUGGGGGUUCCCAGGUGGAUUUUGGGGUGCCCUGACCCCAUUUUCGGGGUUCCCAGGUGGAUUUUGGGGGUUCCCAGGUGGAUUUUGGGGCUCCCCGGUGGAUUUUGGGCUGCUGGGCUGGAUUUUGGGGUGCCCUGACCCCAUUUUCGGGGCUCCCAGGUGCACGUGGAGCAGGAGCUGCUCCUCUACGAGGGGGUUUGGGGGUUCCCAGGUGGAUUUUGGGGCUCCCCGGUGGAUUUUGGGGUACCCUGACCCCAUUUUCGGGGUUCCCAGGUGGAUUUUGAGGGUUCCCUGCUGGGUUUUGGGGUGCCCUGACCCCAUUUUCGGGGUUCCCAGGUGGAUUUUGGGGGUUCCCAGGUGGAUUUUGGGGCUCCCCGGUGGAUUUUGAGGGUUCCCAGGUGGGUUUUGGGGCUCCCUGGUGGAUUUUGGGGGUUCCCAGGUGGAUUUUGGGGUGCCCUGACCCCAUUUUCGGGGUUCCCAGGUG